This is a non-coding RNA of Rattus norvegicus (Norway rat), 70 nucleotides long. Lineage: Eukaryota; Metazoa; Chordata; Mammalia; Rodentia; Muridae. The record is from Rfam.
GGGGAUUUAGCUCAGCGGUAGAGCGCUUGCCUAAGAAGCGCAAGGCCCUGGGUUCGGUCCCCAGCUCCCA